GAAGGGUGCAAGCGUUACUCGGAAUUACUGGGCGUAAAGCGUGCGUAGGUGGUCGUUUAAGUCUGUUGUGAAAGCCCUGGGCUCAACCUGGGAACUGCAGUGGAAACUGGACGACUAGAGUGUGGUAGAGGGUAGCGGAAUUCCUGGUGUAGCAGUGAAAUGCGUAGAGAUCAGGAGGAACAUCCAUGGCGAAGGCAGCUACCUGGACCAACACUGACACUGAGGCACGAAAGUGUGGGGGAGCAAACAGGAUUAGAUACCCUGGUAGUCCACGCCCUAAACGAUGCGAACUGGAUGUUGGGUGCAAUUUGGCACGCAGUAUCGAAGCUAACGCGUUAAGUUCGCCGCCUGGGGAGUACGGUCGCAAGACUG
This 372-nucleotide ribosomal RNA is filed under the name uncultured organism. RNAcentral's name for it is "partial 16S ribosomal RNA". It matches the Rfam family "Bacterial small subunit ribosomal RNA", at positions 527 to 896 of the family's 1533-position model. The record is from RNAcentral.